Molecule: long non-coding RNA, 248 nt
Filed under: Elaeis guineensis (African oil palm)
Lineage: Eukaryota; Viridiplantae; Streptophyta; Magnoliopsida; Arecales; Arecaceae
Description: long non-coding RNA (EGUI_LNC071262)
Source: RNAcentral
UCGAUGGGUGCUAGAAAAGCUAGCCUCCUGACUAUUUAAGGUUACCACCACCGCUCAAGAGGACGAGCCAAUUCUCCUAAUCCCUUUUUUCUUCUCUCUUGGAUUCUCAAGAUUUCUAACAAUCAUCCUCAUCAUCCUGCUUUUGCCGAAAUCAUGACUUCAAACUUCCCAAAGCCACCUCCUCACCUCUUAGAUUCUUCCUCUCCCUACGGUCCCGGCACAAGGCCACUACUAUGUAUGUACUAGCC